UCGGAGGUGGUGCACGGUACACACCCGCUCUUAUUACUCAGAAUAGUUCAUGAAACAACAUCCAGGCGGGAGAUCUGGGUUCGACUCCCAGCGUCCGAA
Non-coding RNA from Mycena latifolia, 99 nucleotides. The record is from the annotation of a GenBank genome assembly. Lineage: Eukaryota; Fungi; Basidiomycota; Agaricomycetes; Agaricales; Mycenaceae.